Molecule: RNA transcript, 1425 nt
Organism: Harmonia axyridis
Lineage: Eukaryota; Metazoa; Arthropoda; Insecta; Coleoptera; Coccinellidae
Exons: 8
Source: RefSeq, a predicted model, not a curated record
CCUCGGCUUGGGGAUUCAGUUCAGUGUUUCAUUUUCGCUCUUGGCGGCUUCCAGCAUCCAGCUCUCAGUUGCCAUACGCAAGUUCUCGGCGCUGGUUGCGAUCUUCCGAACGUAGUCGAGCAUCCCAAUCGAGAACUUUUUAAUCGCAAUCAUCUAGGCGGAUGGAAUACUAGAUUGUUGGAGACAGCGAAUGAGCGAGAUUGUAUACAAGAUCUUUUCUAAGAAAAGUACCUACUGUUCAUAAUGAUGAACCACAGACAUGCAGCGUCAAUAGCUGCCAUUUACUUUUUGAACAUAUCAUUCAUGGUUGUGUUGUUCUACAGCUGGAGGGUUUCCUACAAUUUAAAGAGAGUUGCUGAUUUGAAAGACGUUUAUUAUGGUGUGCAAUUUGCGUACUGUGCUAUAAUUGGAACACAUUUAUUAAUGUUUAUCCUGAAUAUACACCUCUACAUCUGCAUAUACAAAGUGAAUCUCUCCCUUAUCAAUUUAUGGACAGUUAGUUUCUUAGCAUUACUAGCCUUGGAAGCAGUAUUAAUGAUAUACUCGAAUAUACUCAGAGAUCAUGUUAACAGAAAAUUCGACGAUCUGUGCGAAUUCGAAGUUUUCUUCUUCUCCAUCAGGCUCGUGUUCAGCGUUAUUGCCGUCAGGUUCGUGACACUCUUCGGGAACCAAUAUCGUAUGGGAAUGGACUGGAAAGAACGUGAAACUAUUCAACUUUGAUCCAGACGAGAUUCUGCGUACCAAACUGCAUUCUGCGAUCGUGACAGUUCAUGUGGCAGUUCUCUUCUUCUCUUUCUUUCACCGUCUAGUUCCAAAUCGUUACAGUUGGAAUGGGUUAAUUUGGUUGAGAAUGUUUAAACUUUAAGAUUGUUCGAAAUCAAAUAACACAGUGCAGGGGGACACCCUGUAGUAAUUGCUCAAUUGACACUAAGAGAUUGAUACCUAUAUGCAUCGUAUGAUUUUUUUCUUUUUUUUUCAAUAUAAAAAGUGUUUAAGAAUUUUUCAGCUUAAGGGCUUCAAAUACGAUGCUAAAAUAAUGUAAAGAUGUUGCGUUGACUCAAUAUAUUAAAUAGUAAUUCGAAAAUAUUGUUAGAAGGUUGUGAAAUAAUAAAAUAUUAUAGCUAUAUGAAAUCAAUCAAAAUAUAAAUUUAGAUUAAGUUGUUAUUUCCAAAGAGCGAAAAUAAUAAUGAUGUAUGACUAAAUUUAAGAAUGAAGUAUGAUUGGACUAAGAAUUGAAAGUAUAUCAAAAAUGAGCUUUUAAUAAUUGAGUACAAAACAAACAAAAUGUAUAGGUAUUAUGUUGAACACUUACGAAUUACUCAGAAGAAAAUUCUUAAGUGGGAUAUUAUGUCUGCAAUAUUGAAAUUGUUGUAAUUUGGUAAUACAUAUUAAAAUAUAUUCUUUUAAAAAAUGUUAUUGCGACAU